Molecule: ribosomal RNA, 253 nt
Filed under: uncultured bacterium
Lineage: Bacteria
Description: partial 16S ribosomal RNA
Rfam family: Bacterial small subunit ribosomal RNA
Source: RNAcentral
UACAGAGGUGGCAAGCGUUGUUCGGAUUUACUGGGCGUAAAGGGUGCGUAGGCGGUUCUGCAUGUCGGAUGUGAAAUCCCGCGGAUUAUCCGUGGAACGGCAUUCGAAACUGCAGGGCUAGAGUUCAGGAGAGGAGAGCGGAAUUCUCGGUGUAGCGGUGAAAUGCGUUGAUAUCGAGAGGAACGCCGGAGGCGAAGGCGGCUCUCUGGACUGUGACUGACGCUGAGGCACGAAAGCUGGGGGAGCAAACAGG